RNAcentral lists this ribosomal RNA (460 nucleotides) under uncultured bacterium. RNAcentral describes it as "partial 16S ribosomal RNA". It matches the Rfam family "Bacterial small subunit ribosomal RNA", at positions 338 to 795 of the family's 1533-position model. The record is from RNAcentral.
CCUACGGGCGGCAGCAGUGAGGAAUAUUGGUCAAUGGUCGCAAGCCUGAACCAGCCAAGUAGCGUGCAGGAUGACGGCCCUAUGGGUUGUAAACUGCUUUUAUACAGGGAUAAAAUGAGUCACGUGUGCUGUUUUGUAGGUACCGCAUGAAUAAGGACCGGCUAAUUACGUGCCAGCAGCCGCGGUAAUACGGAAGGUCCGGGCGUUAUCCGGAUUUAUUGGGUGUAAAGGGAGCGUAGACCGCAUGUUAAGCGUGGCGUGAAAUGCCGGGGCUCAACCAUGGCACUGCGGUGGGAACUGGACUGCUUGAGUGCGCGGAACGUAUGUGGAAUUCGUGGUGUAGCGGUGAAAUGCGUAGAUAUCACGAAGAACACCGAUUGCGAAGGCGGCAUACGGCAGCGUUACUGACGCUGAAGCUCGAAGGCGUGGGGAGCGAACAGGAUUAGAUACCCCGGUAGUC